Molecule: long non-coding RNA, 350 nt
Filed under: Sinocyclocheilus grahami
Lineage: Eukaryota; Metazoa; Chordata; Actinopteri; Cypriniformes; Cyprinidae
Description: lncRNA (ENSSGRG00000039201.1)
Source: RNAcentral
UUCUAUUUUGUCUCUUUUUUACUUCCUAAACAGUUGUUUUUAUCUCACAGGGGCCCUCUGGUGGAACUCCAGAAUCUAAAGGAGAAAAAGGGGAUUCUGGGAUACAUGGUGAAGACGGAAAGCCUGGAGAACCUGGUCCGAGAGGUCCUUGGGGACCUAAAGGCGAGAAGGGAGAUCCAUGUGAACCAUGUCCAGUGGUGUCUUUUGACUCCACUGGCAACACUGUGGCCUUUCAGAGCAAGCAGGGGCCUAAAGGAGAACCAGGGGCCCCAGGCAAAGGAGAACAGGGUCCACCUGUGAGUUCAUUCUCAAAACCAACGCCACAAACCACUUGUGUUUAUCACAAAAAG